UACGUAGGGUGCAAGCGUUGUCCGGAAUUAUUGGGCGUAAAGAGCUCGUAGGCGGUCUGUCGCGUCGGCUGUGAAAACCCGGGGCUCAACCCCGGGCCUGCAGUCGAUACGGGCAGACUAGAGUGCGGUAGGGGAGACUGGAAUUCCUGGUGUAGCGGUGAAAUGCGCAGAUAUCAGGAGGAACACCGGUGGCGAAGGCGGGUCUCUGGGCCGUAACUGACGCUGAGGAGCGAAAGCUAGGGGAGCGAACGGG
This 253-nucleotide ribosomal RNA is filed under the name uncultured bacterium. RNAcentral describes it as "partial 16S ribosomal RNA". It matches the Rfam family "Bacterial small subunit ribosomal RNA", at positions 524 to 776 of the family's 1533-position model. The record is from RNAcentral.